GACCAGGCCCUCCUGCGGCAGUGAGUCCUACUAAACUCAGUGAUCAGGAUGGUAAGCACUGGACAUUGUAAUCUGAGGAACUCAGAACUGAAGACUCCUGCCACUUCCAGAAGUCCCCAUGCCCCAGCUCAGGAGAAGACUCUUCAGUCAGAGUGGUCUUAAACACCCAGGCCAUGGAGGCUGUUAUGGAGUGGCAAGACACACUAGUGGGUGGGGGGAAGGUAAAAGCAGAAAAGGAGACCUGGUUGUGCCACAGUCAAUUCAUGUGGAAGGAACAUAAACGGGUGCUCACUGACUCCAUCAGCCUGCCAAAGAGAAUCCUGAACUUUCAAAUCCAAUACCUUAUUCCUUCCUCUCCAAAAAUUCUUUUUUGCUGUUUAGAGG
Bos taurus (domestic cattle) is the source of this 384-nucleotide long non-coding RNA. The record is from Ensembl. NCBI's taxonomy places the organism in Eukaryota, Metazoa, Chordata, Mammalia, Artiodactyla, Bovidae.